This 513-nucleotide long non-coding RNA is filed under the name Physcomitrium patens. RNAcentral's name for it is "long non-coding RNA (PPAT_LNC000880)". The record is from RNAcentral. Lineage: Eukaryota; Viridiplantae; Streptophyta; Bryopsida; Funariales; Funariaceae.
GAGGUUUAAAUUUGUUGUAGGAAUUAUUAGGAUUUGGUUUAGGAUUUGGUUAGGAUUUGGUUUGGGAUUUAGAGUUUGGAUUAGGGUUUGAUUUAGAGUUUAAGGUUUAUUUAGGGUUUGAUUUAGGAUUUAGGAUUUUAUUAGGAUUUAAGAUUCAAUUAGUUUUGGCCUAAAUUUUGAAUGAAGUUCAAUAGGAUUUUAACUAGAAUUAAAUUAAGAUUGAAUUGAGAUGUAUUUGAGUGAUAUUUAUGUUCUUUCUAAUGUUUCUUUAAGAGUUCUUAUUGUUUGUUUGAAAUUUCUUUGAGUUUUUUUUUGAAUUUGAUUAAGCUUGCUUAUCAUUAUUAUGGUCUAAUUAGAACAUUGUUAGUAUUCUAUUAAAAUUAAAAUUUUGAUAUUACAAUUUCCAUUCUUUCUUCCACAGCCAAGUGUCUGGAGCAUUCUCAAUCAAGACUUCAUGUAUUAUGGCAAAGUGAAAUAUAGGGUGGAUCUUCAUAGAUUUAGAUAUAUGUAAUG